This 83-nucleotide small RNA is filed under the name Marmota monax (woodchuck). The record is from RNAcentral. Lineage: Eukaryota; Metazoa; Chordata; Mammalia; Rodentia; Sciuridae.
GCCGGGUGCAGCUGUGAACGCCUGUAAUCCCAGCAACUUGGGAGGCUGAGGCAGGAGGAUUGCAAGUUGGAGGCCAGCCUCAG